This 497-nucleotide ribosomal RNA is filed under the name uncultured bacterium. RNAcentral's name for it is "partial 16S ribosomal RNA". It matches the Rfam family "Bacterial small subunit ribosomal RNA", at positions 28 to 507 of the family's 1533-position model. The record is from RNAcentral.
GAUGAACGCUGGCGGCGUGCCUAAUACAUGCAAGUCGAGCGAACAGAUGAGGAGCUUGCUCCUCUGACGUUAGCGGCGGACGGGUGAGUAACACGUUGAUAACCUACCUAUAAGACUGGGAUAACUUCGGGAAACCGGAGCUAAUACCGGAUAAUAUAUUGAACCGCAUGGUUCAAUAGUGAAAGACGGUUUUGCUGUCACUUAUAGAUGGAUCCGCGCCGCAUUAGCUAGUUGGUAAGGUAACGGCUUACCAAGGCAACGAUGCGUAGCCGACCUGAGAGGGUGAUCGGCCACACUGGAACUGAGACACGGCCCAGACUCCUACGGGAGGCAGCAGUAGGGAAUCUUCCGCAAUGGGCGAAAGCCUGACGGAGCAACGCCGCGUGAGUGAUGAAGGUCUUCGGAUCGUAAAACUCUGUUAUUAGGGAAGAACAAAUGUGUAAGUAACUAUGCACGUCUUGACGGUACCUAAUCAGAAAGCCACGGCUAACUACGUG